UACGUAGGGUGCAAGCGUUGUCCGGAAUUAUUGGGCGUAAAGAGCUCGUAGGCGGUCUGUCGCGUCGGAUGUGAAAACCCGCGGCUCAACCGCGGGCCUGCAUUCGAUACGGGCAGGCUAGAGUUCGGUAGGGGAGACUGGAAUUCCUGGUGUAGCGGUGAAAUGCGCAGAUAACAGGAGGAACACCGAUGGCGAAGGCAGGUCUCUGGGCCGAUACUGACGCUGAGGAGCGAAAGCGUGGGGAGCGAACAGG
Molecule: ribosomal RNA, 253 nt
Filed under: uncultured bacterium
Lineage: Bacteria
Description: partial 16S ribosomal RNA
Rfam family: Bacterial small subunit ribosomal RNA
Source: RNAcentral